GCCGGCGACCAUACCACGUUGAAAGCACCGGUUCUCAUCCGAUCACCGCAGU
This 52-nucleotide ribosomal RNA is filed under the name Schistosoma mattheei. Lineage: Eukaryota; Metazoa; Platyhelminthes; Trematoda; Strigeidida; Schistosomatidae. The record is from RNAcentral.